ACUUAUUUGGUUUACAUACAGUGAUACAUUGCAAUGAUUUAGAAAGGUGACCUAUUUUCAAGUGAAUUUACAUGUUCUUUGCUAUUCAACAUAAUUUUUUCUUCCCUCCGUUGUGUUAAUUGAUUCAUCUGCGGUUGUGCUCUUCUGACAAAGAUGUCCAUCAAGUCCCGAGAGAACUACUAAUAGCUAGCUGGAAAGAUGUUUUAGAGAAUUUGUUUGGAGGUACGUAAUGAAACCUCAUAACUUCUAAUUUGCUGAUUUUUUUCAGAGAAUUGCUUCGCUACUAAUGCGCUAAACUAAUAUAAGACGUUGUAGGUCACGAAAUACUGACCUAAAACGGCUUUUAUUAGUUUCCAAAUGGAGUAUUAUUCCUGUUGAAGUUCUUUAAUCAUUUCAAUUCUUCUGUGACAGGCCGACAGCGGGCUCGAGUCUAUCUCUGUCUCACGAACAGGGUGGACAGGUUCACGACUCGACUGAUUGACUGAAUCGGAGCAAACAAUUCAGCAAACACCUUAUGGGCAGAGGUAGAGAAGCAGAGUAUGGGCACUAGCACAGCUUACCUUUUUAUCUUCCUGUACGUGCUGCACUGAGGCGCUUUGUUCUUACAUUUGUACUAUCAACAGGAACACACAGUAUACAUUACAAAUCCAGUUUUGCUAUGAAGCCGUAACUUUGCUCAGUUCUUCCCUACAAUUAAUUCGUCUGAAUUACUAGCUAUGGUCCCUUCUAAUUCUUAUUCUAAUUAGCAGACAAACUUAAGAUAUAUUUUGUUCAAAUAAAUCUGAAUCUACAACUGAUAUUGUUAUCUCUGUUUAUCUCAUUUGUUGAGAAGUAUUGCUAUAUUUAGGGCUGCUUGUUGAGCAUUUCCAUGGUAGAUCCCAGAUUCGAACAAUGUAUUCUUACACUCCCAUGUAUCACAGUUUAUAUUCUCCUUUCGAUGCAAGCCUUCCUGUUUACCUGAAUGAUUUUGAAUAUGUAAUACGUACAUGUCUUACGUACAAUCCAGCCUAGACACAAAGUCAGAAAUUAUCUGCUAUGUGUUACAGGUUCAGCACAAUGUCAACCCCUUUCCUGUUGUGCAUAUGGUCUUGGUUUUGGGUUCAGAAUAUAUUUUGAUUUAGAGAUGCAGAAACGAUGGAUAGAUAUUGACAAGCCUCAUUUUCUAUUUGUUCUGGAGGGUCUGGGUCUAAAUAUCAGUCAAAUAUUUAAUUUUUAGCUGAAUGAUGAAAUAAUGGAAAGUGGUGCUCAUCUCAAAGUAGGGCUACUUGGUCUAAAUAAUUUGGUCAUCUCAAUAUUUCACAAGCAUAUGAGAUAUGUGUAGUAAUUUGUGUAUGCAUUCCAGCUUGGACUGGCAGCAUGGACUGGAAAAUUGUCCCAACCAUCUUGGACACACCCCAGGCAGGUGCUGCCAGCUGCCAUGGUCGAGGCAUGAGGUUCGACGUGGUGAUCAAGGAGGUGCAGGGUAUGCUCUUGUAAUUAGUAUGAUGAUUUCCACAUGCUUAAAUGCUACUCCAUUAUGUUUUUGCAUAACAAUCUUGAGAUUAUGUAUUGAAAUAUUCAUAGUGAUUCUUCCCGUUAAGUUGAGCUUAAUAUGUUUGUCUCCUGCUCUCAGCUAAUUUAGGAUUUUGUAUUAUAUUUAGGUAAGCAUUUUCCUUGCAUGUCGUGAUAUCUUACAAGCAUUGUGUUAAUCAAUUUUUUCUUUAUCAAGUUUACUAUUAUUUCCAUCGCUCUGCAGUUUAUUUAAAUACACUGCUUUACAUUAUUCUGGUGUGAAGUUUUCCAAAUCCAUUUUCCAAUACAAAAUUUCUUUUUCCGGAUAUAGACUCUUUUUGCUAAUAAAUAGGACAAUCUGGAUUCAAAGUUAAAUAAAAUUUAUGGCCUUGUGUUGAUAGAUGGCAUUACACACUGAUGGCUUCUGGUUUUCUAUUUUUCUUAUAGGAACAGAGAAACUGAAUAUUUUGUUUGCAAGACGGUUAUCAUAUACUCUAAUUCAGACAUAAGUGAUGAUACAAUAACGCGCUUCGCCAAUUUCUAAUUCAGGCGGGCGUAGCUUAGCUUGGGACCAAGCACGUGCAACAGUUAUUGUCUUCUUCAUGCCCCGUAAGUUGCUUCUGUCAUGCAUGUAAACAAAGACGCCACCGACAGUAACGGCAUGCAUAGUGAGGUCGUUGCCCGGCAUGAUCUUGCUUUGAGCUGCUUGGAGACUUGCUUUGAGCUGCUUGGAUGAUACUGCUUCAGUGUAUUCUUGCUUGUUUGUCCUAUUUUUUCAGUGAAAUGCUGAAGAUAUGUAGUUGAUUGCCAGUAUUUGAUCGCCCUGCAAUAUUUUUUGACUUGGUUAUUUGUAUAUUGUACGAGCUUGAAUAUUGAAUAAGUAGCGUAUCUAUUAAAUUAUAUGCGGUUUCGUGCAUUAGUUUGUACGUGCAUUUGCACACAUGCAUAUGAUUAUUCAGGUUAGAUUUGCCACCAAACUUAAGUGCCCCUCCUUAUUUCAAGGUUAUCAUUUCAAUUCAACCUAAUAUAAUAUUAAAUGCCUCGUCAGUAUAUCAAUCCGACCUUUCUCUAUGAGGACCCCUGCAGUUUGUGAUGCUGUAAUUUUUCUUUGGGCAAAUGUACUACAGAAAAAAACAUACUAAGCUGAGCACCCCUUGAAGGCAGAUAUGUACUUGGCAUAGGGUUUGCCGAGUAUAAAACUAGGUGAGGUGCACUUGACAUACACCUGGCAUGGGGUUUGCUGAAUGUUUUUAUCAUUUUAUGAAAGGAACUUUAUGAUUCGUAUGUUCAAUUGUAAUUUUAUCUCAGAAAGCUCAUUCUAGAAUAUGU
This 2820-nucleotide long non-coding RNA is filed under the name Triticum aestivum (bread wheat). RNAcentral's name for it is "long non-coding RNA (TAES_LNC016234)". Lineage: Eukaryota; Viridiplantae; Streptophyta; Magnoliopsida; Poales; Poaceae. The record is from RNAcentral.